UGGGGAAUUUUGGACAAUGGGGGAAACCCUGAUCCAGCCAUUCCGCGUGCAGGAUGAAGGCCCUCGGGUUGUAAACUGCUUUUGGACGGAACGAAAAGCGCUGAGCUAAUAACCCGGCGUCAUGACGGUACCGUCCGAAUAAGCACCGGCUAACUACGUGCCAGCAGCCGCGGUAAUACGUAGGGUGCAAGCGUUAAUCGGAAUUACUGGGCGUAAAGCGUGCGCAGGCGGUGAUGUAAGACAGGUGUGAAAUCCCCGGGCUUAACCUGGGAACUGCAUUUGUGACUGCAUCGCUGGAGUGCGGCAGAGGGGGAUGGAAUUCCGCGUGUAGCAGUGAAAUGCGUAGAUAUGCGGAGGAACACCGAUGGCGAAGGCAAUCCCCUGGGCCUGCACUGACGCUCAUGCACGAAAGCGUGGGGAGCAAAC
Molecule: ribosomal RNA, 426 nt
Filed under: uncultured bacterium
Lineage: Bacteria
Description: bacterial SSU rRNA
Rfam family: Bacterial small subunit ribosomal RNA
Source: RNAcentral